UUUCGCAAUGCCCGAAAGGGUGACGAAGCGACGCCGCGUGUGGGAAGAAGGCCUUCGGGUUGUAAACCACUGUCGGGAGUUAGGAAAUGUAAGGGUGCUAAUAGUAUCCUUACUUGACUAAGGCUCCGGAGGAAGCCACGGCUAACUCUGUGCCAGCAGCCGCGGUAAUACAGAGGCGGCAAGCGUUGUUCGGAAUUAUUGGGCGUAAAGAGCACGUAGGCGGCCUUGUAAGUCAGUUGUGAAAGCCUUCUGCUUAAUGGAAGAACAGCAGCUGAUACUGCAAGGCUAGAGUGCGGAAGGGGAGAGUGGAACUUCUGGUGGAGCGGUGAAAUGCGUAGAUAUCAGAAGGAACACCGGCGGCGAAGGCGACUCUCUGGUCCGUAACUGACGCUGAGUGUGCGAAAGCUAGGGGAGCAAACGGGAUUAGAUACCCCGGUAGUCCUAGCCGUAAACGAUGGGCACUAAGUAGAGGGGUUUUA
Molecule: ribosomal RNA, 479 nt
Filed under: uncultured bacterium
Lineage: Bacteria
Description: bacterial SSU rRNA
Rfam family: Bacterial small subunit ribosomal RNA
Source: RNAcentral